UACGGGGGGGGCAAGCGUUAUUCGGAAUCACUGGGCUUAAAGCGCGUGUAGGCGGGGCGGCACGUCGGUCGCUGAAAGCCCCCGGCUCAACCGGGGAACGGGCGCCGAUACGACCGCCCUGGGAGGGAGCGUAGGGGGGCCUGGAACUUCCGGUGGAGCGGUGAAAUGCGGUUGAGAUCGGAAGGGAACGCCCGUGGCGAAAGCGGCGUGCUGG
This 214-nucleotide ribosomal RNA is filed under the name uncultured bacterium. Its description in RNAcentral is "partial 16S ribosomal RNA". It matches the Rfam family "Bacterial small subunit ribosomal RNA", at positions 524 to 732 of the family's 1533-position model. The record is from RNAcentral.